AACGCGAAGAACCUUACCAGCUCUUGACAUGUCUCGUAUGGGGGCCGGAGACGGUUUCCUUCAGUUCGGCUGGCGAGAACACAGGUGCUGCAUGGCUGUCGUCAGCUCGUGUCGUGAGAUGUUGGGUUAAGUCCCGCAACGAGCGCAACCCUCGCCCUUAGUUGCCAUCAUUCAGUUGGGCACUCUAGGGGGACUGCCGGUGAUAAGCCGAGAGGAAGGUGGGGAUGACGUCAAGUCCUCAUGGCCCUUACGGGCUGGGCUACACACGUGCUACAAUGGCGGUGACAAUGGGAUGCUGAGGGGCGACCCCGAGCAAAUCUCAAAAAGCCGUCUCAGUUCGGAUUGCACUCUGCAACUCGAGUGCAUGAAGGUGGAAUCGCUAGUAAUCGUAGAUCAGAACGCUACGGUGAAUACGUUCCCGGGCCUUGUA
RNAcentral lists this ribosomal RNA (430 nucleotides) under uncultured Alphaproteobacteria bacterium. RNAcentral's name for it is "bacterial SSU rRNA". It matches the Rfam family "Bacterial small subunit ribosomal RNA", at positions 958 to 1385 of the family's 1533-position model. Lineage: Bacteria; Pseudomonadati; Pseudomonadota; Alphaproteobacteria. The record is from RNAcentral.